Molecule: ribosomal RNA, 789 nt
Filed under: Lactiplantibacillus plantarum
Lineage: Bacteria; Bacillati; Bacillota; Bacilli; Lactobacillales; Lactobacillaceae
Description: bacterial SSU rRNA
Rfam family: Bacterial small subunit ribosomal RNA
Source: RNAcentral
CAACGCCGCGUGAGUGAAGAAGGGUUUCGGCUCGUAAAACUCUGUUGUUAAAGAAGAACAUAUCUGAGAGUAACUGUUCAGGUAUUGACGGUAUUUAACCAGAAAGCCACGGCUAACUACGUGCCAGCAGCCGCGGUAAUACGUAGGUGGCAAGCGUUGUCCGGAUUUAUUGGGCGUAAAGCGAGCGCAGGCGGUUUUUUAAGUCUGAUGUGAAAGCCUUCGGCUCAACCGAAGAAGUGCAUCGGAAACUGGGAAACUUGAGUGCAGAAGAGGACAGUGGAACUCCAUGUGUAGCGGUGAAAUGCGUAGAUAUAUGGAAGAACACCAGUGGCGAAGGCGGCUGUCUGGUCUGUAACUGACGCUGAGGCUCGAAAGUAUGGGUAGCAAACAGGAUUAGAUACCCUGGUAGUCCAUACCGUAAACGAUGAAUGCUAAGUGUUGGAGGGUUUCCGCCCUUCAGUGCUGCAGCUAACGCAUUAAGCAUUCCGCCUGGGGAGUACGGCCGCAAGGCUGAAACUCAAAGGAAUUGACGGGGGCCCGCACAAGCGGUGGAGCAUGUGGUUUAAUUCGAAGCUACGCGAAGAACCUUACCAGGUCUUGACAUACUAUGCAAAUCUAAGAGAUUAGACGUUCCCUUCGGGGACAUGGAUACAGGUGGUGCAUGGUUGUCGUCAGCUCGUGUCGUGAGAUGUUGGGGUUAAGUCCCGCAACGAGCGCAACCCUUAUUAUCAGUUGCCAGCAUUAAGUUGGGCACUCUGGUGAGACUGCCGGUGACAACCGGAAGAAGGG